This 370-nucleotide ribosomal RNA is filed under the name Spionidae sp. USNM IZ 1448139. RNAcentral describes it as "SSU rRNA". It matches the Rfam family "Eukaryotic small subunit ribosomal RNA", at positions 51 to 414 of the family's 1831-position model. The record is from RNAcentral. Lineage: Eukaryota; Metazoa; Annelida; Polychaeta; Spionida; Spionidae.
AUGCAUGUCUAAGUACAAGCCGAUAUUGACGGUGAAACCGCGAAUGGCUCAUUAAAUCAGUUAUGGUUCCUUAGAUCGUCCAAUCCUACUUGGAUAACUGUAGUAAUUCUAGAGCUAAUACAUGCAACCAAGCUCCGACCUUCGGGGAAGAGCGCUUUUAUUAGACCAAGACCAAUCGGGGGCAACCCCGUCGCUCUGGUGACUCUGGAUAACUUUGAGCUGAUCGCACGGCCCUUGCGCCGGCGACGUAUCUUUCAAAUGUCUGCCCUAUCAACUUUCGAUGGUACGUGCUAUGCCUACCAUGGUUGUAACGGGUAACGGGGAAUCAGGGUUCGAUUCCGGAGAGGGAGCAUGAGAAACGGCUACCACA